CCAGGACCUCUGGGAGCAGCACAUACAAAUACUGUUUAAGAAUUUGCCACACCAAUGGACCAUACAACCAGCUACCACAACUACCAACAUUCCUACCACAACUACCACCAUCGACCUGCCGGAUAGUGGUUGGCAGGUCUUCCGGGACAUGGCCAAGGUCCGGUUUUACUGCAAUCACUGUGGCGACGGGUGGACCAGUAUGUAUGGGAGUGUCACAUUCUACUAUCACCCAACUACUACUACUACUACUACUACUACUACUACUACUACUACUACUGGACGCAUCUUCUACCACUUACCAGGCCAGAGGUGUGGUGGUGGUGGUGGUGGUUGUAGUAGUAGUGGUUAUUGUCAGCCACUGUGGUACCCGGAGGAGAUACAGAAGGUCAUAACAAACUUAUACUACGCCAUUGCCACAAAUAUAUACCGAUUAAUAACGCCACAGUUCAUUAAAACGAGGCGCCUUGGCCGUCCCGGGACCUUCCAUAACCGUAGGCUGUGCGAGGGUUGUUAUAUCGGGGUCUGCAAGUGAGAGGGAGAGAUGGAGAGAAAAGUGAGA
Long non-coding RNA from Portunus trituberculatus (swimming crab), 559 nucleotides. RefSeq lists it as uncharacterized. Lineage: Eukaryota; Metazoa; Arthropoda; Malacostraca; Decapoda; Portunidae. The transcript is spliced from 3 exons. The record is from RefSeq and is a predicted model, not a curated record.